UUACCUUCUGCGCUCACCCUUCUAUGACAAAUACUCUGAGGAAAAGAUUCUCUUCCUGCUCAGAGUCCUGGCUGAUCAUGUUCCAGGAAUAGGACUUAUUGCACGCCCUCUGAUGGAUUACCUUCC
Seriola dumerili (greater amberjack) is the source of this 126-nucleotide long non-coding RNA. RefSeq lists it as uncharacterized. Lineage: Eukaryota; Metazoa; Chordata; Actinopteri; Carangiformes; Carangidae. The transcript is spliced from 3 exons. The record is from RefSeq and is a predicted model, not a curated record.